UACGUAGGGGGCAAGCGUUAUCCGGAUUUACUGGGUGUAAAGGGAGCGUAGACGGCAGUGCAAGUCUGAAGUGAAAGGCGGGGGCCCAACCCCCGGACUGCUUUGGAAACUGUGCUGCUGGAGUGCAGGAGAGGCAAGUGGAAUUCCUAGUGUAGCGGUGAAAUGCGUAGAUAUUAGGAGGAACACCAGUGGCGAAGGCGGCUUGCUGGACUGUAACUGAUGUUGAGGCUCGAAAGCGUGGGGAGCAAACAGG
RNAcentral lists this ribosomal RNA (253 nucleotides) under uncultured bacterium. RNAcentral's name for it is "partial 16S ribosomal RNA". It matches the Rfam family "Bacterial small subunit ribosomal RNA", at positions 524 to 776 of the family's 1533-position model. The record is from RNAcentral.